This 372-nucleotide ribosomal RNA is filed under the name uncultured organism. RNAcentral describes it as "partial 16S ribosomal RNA". It matches the Rfam family "Bacterial small subunit ribosomal RNA", at positions 527 to 896 of the family's 1533-position model. The record is from RNAcentral.
GUAGGUGGCAAGCGUUGUCCGGAAUUAUUGGGCGUAAAGCGCGCGCAGGCGGUUCUUUAAGUCUGAUGUGAAAGCCCACGGGCUCAACCGUGGAGGGUCAUUGGAAACUGGAGAACUUGAGUACAGAAGAGGAAAGCGGAAUUCCACGUGUAGCGGUGAAAUGCGUAGAGAUGUGGAGGAACACCAGUGGCGAAGGCGGCUUUCUGGUCUGUAACUGACGCUGAGGCGCGGAAGCGUGGGGAGCAAACAGGAUUAGAUACCCUGGUAGUCCACGCCGUAAACGAUGAGUGCUAAGUGUUAGGGGGUUUCCGCCCCUUAGUGCUGCAGCUAACGCAUUAAGCACUCCGCCUGGGGAGUACGACCGCAAGGUUG